RNAcentral lists this ribosomal RNA (326 nucleotides) under Chthoniobacterales bacterium. Its description in RNAcentral is "partial 23S ribosomal RNA". It matches the Rfam family "Bacterial large subunit ribosomal RNA", at positions 2592 to 2925 of the family's 2925-position model. The record is from RNAcentral. Lineage: Bacteria; Pseudomonadati; Verrucomicrobiota; Spartobacteria; Chthoniobacterales.
AGUGGUACGCGAGCUGGGUUCAGAACGUCGCGAGACAGUUCGGUCCUUAUCCACUGUGGGCGCAGGAGAAUUGAGGGGUUCAGAUCCUAGUACGAGAGGACCGGGUCUGACGAACCUCUGGUGUUCCAGUUGUCGUGUCAACGGCAUUGCUGGGUAGCUAUGUUCGGAAAGGAUAAGCGCUGAAAGCAUCUAAGCGCCAAGCCUAUCCCAAGAUGAAUUCUCCCUGAAGAUCCGUGGUAGACCACCACGUUGAUAGGUUGCGGGUGCAAGCACAGCAAUGUGUUCAGCUCAGCAAUACUAAUGAUCGUCCGGCUUGGUCAUUUUUU